This 301-nucleotide ribosomal RNA is filed under the name uncultured bacterium. RNAcentral's name for it is "partial 16S ribosomal RNA". It matches the Rfam family "Bacterial small subunit ribosomal RNA", at positions 509 to 808 of the family's 1533-position model. The record is from RNAcentral.
CAGCAGCCGCGGUAAUACGAGUGGUGCAAGCGUUAUUCGGAAUUAUUGGGCGUAAAGGGUGUGCAGACGGUUUGUUAGGUCACUUGUUAAAUUCUCCGGCUUAACCGGAGGCCAGCAUGUGAAACUAGCAGACUAGAGGGUGAGAGAGAGAAGUGGAAUUCUCGGAGUAGCGGUAAAAUGCGUAGAUCUCGAGAGGAACACCAAUGGCGAAGGCAGCUUCUUGGCUCACUCCUGACGUUCAUACACGAAAGCGUGGGAGCAAACAGGAUUAGAUACCCGGGUAGUCCCUGUCUCUUAUACC